GAGGUAAGAAGGGUCAGAAUCAAGAUUCAAACUAGCCUUCUGAUGCCACUUCACAAUUAUACAAAAUGGUGGCUGGUAUCCUUUGUGUCUUGGUUAUUCAGUAGGCAUUUCAAAGACCAUCUUCUGACCACUCCCAGGCACACAGCAAAGACCCAGGAGUCCCUCUAACACCCAAUCCAGCUCCUACUGGAGAAGAAUAGGCUCAAGGCAGCCACAGUGAGCCUUUCUCUCUCUCUCUCUCUCUCUCUCUCUCUCUCUCUCUCUCUCUCUCUCUCUCUCUCUCUCUCUCUCUCUUCUCUCUCUCUCUCUCUGUCUCUGUCUCUGUCUUUCUCUCUGUCUCUCUUUUUCUUUCUUUUCUGCCUCUGCCUCCCCCCCUCUUUCUCUCUCUUCCUCUCUCUUUUUCUUUCUCUUCUAUCUCUGUCUCUCUGUCUGUGGGGCCAAGUCUUGGUCUCUGAGCAGCUUGACCUUCAGAGUGACCUGGGGAUGCUUUUGUUUCUGCCUGUUCUCCCAGAGUGCCUGGCACAGUGUCUGCUUAAUAAGUAUCUGUACCGUGAAUGAAUAAAUGAAUGACAUCACUUCUUGGGACCAGAACUGAACCAACUUCCCCCUUUAUGCCCCUUCUCCUUUUCUAGGACUAAGAGACCUGUUUAGAGUUUAUUUACACUCACCAUUCUGUCUCUGUUUCUCUCUUUCUGUCUCUGCCUCUGACUCUCUCUCAUUCUUUCUCUUCUGUCUCUCUCUGCCUCUGUCUGUCUCCUCUCUGUCUCUCUGUCUCUGUGUCUCUGUCUCUCUCUGUCUCUGACAUUUUCUGCUCUUGGAUAUCCUCUGCUAUCCCUGCUCAGAUUUUGAGGAAAUCAAUGACACAAAUGUCCACCCAUGGAAUUGUCUUGUGAACACCCUUAGUCUGCUGCUGGAAUCUUUGAAUAGCCAUCAGACUGGGCUUGAAGCCUGGGUAGUGUAGACAAAGAAUCCUGUAUGGACUCUGUCCCUUGCCACUGAACACAGAUGUGAUGUUGGGGCUACAGGCAUUCUCUCACUGAGCCUCAGUUUCCUCAUCUGUAAAACAUGAGGGUGAUCUCUAAGGUUCCUUCCAUCUCUUAAGUCUUAUGGCUUCCUUGGAGGGCUCCAAAUAAAAGUCAGAUGACCAUUUGCCGGGGUUACCA
This 1163-nucleotide long non-coding RNA is filed under the name Monodelphis domestica (gray short-tailed opossum). Its description in RNAcentral is "lncRNA (ENSMODG00000039121.1)". Lineage: Eukaryota; Metazoa; Chordata; Mammalia; Didelphimorphia; Didelphidae. The record is from RNAcentral.